This 251-nucleotide ribosomal RNA is filed under the name uncultured bacterium. RNAcentral's name for it is "partial 16S ribosomal RNA". It matches the Rfam family "Bacterial small subunit ribosomal RNA", at positions 524 to 775 of the family's 1533-position model. The record is from RNAcentral.
UACGUAGGGUGCAAGCGUUAAUCGGAAUUACUGGGCGUAAAGCGUGCGCAGGCGGUUUUGUAAGUCUGUCGUGAAAUCCCCGGGCUCAACCUGGGAAUUGCGUUGGAGACUGCAAGGCUAGAAUCUGGCAGAGGGGGGUAGAAUUCCACGUGUAGCAGUGAAAUGCGUAGAGAUGUGGAGGAACACCUGUGGCGAAGGCGGCCCCUGGGCCGGCCCUGACACUGAGACGCGAAGGCGUGGGGAGCAACAGG